This is an RNA transcript of Brassica oleracea var. oleracea, 1309 nucleotides long. RefSeq lists it as uncharacterized. The record is from RefSeq and is a predicted model, not a curated record. NCBI's taxonomy places the organism in Eukaryota, Viridiplantae, Streptophyta, Magnoliopsida, Brassicales, Brassicaceae. The transcript is spliced from 6 exons.
ACUCAAAUAAUUCUAGCCCGAUAGCAAGAAUAAAUUGGCCCCUUCACUUUCGUAACGAAAAGCUUCCAUCCUUUCUAGGGUUCAUCUGUGCCAUGAUGCAAUGCCGACCACCCUCUAUUCGAAGCUGCCGCCUCUAAUUAAUCGUUUGACAUUCUUGCUACUGGUUCUCACAAUCUAACACCAUUACAUAAUCCAGUGCAUCCAAUCGUCGUGAUUAAGCCUCUCAAGUCGUCACCGUAGAGUAUCGCGUUUUUUCGAGCGGGAAGAGAGCUUUGCGGCGUAGUUUGUCAAACACUUCAUCGUCACUGAGAAGGAAUAUGACAGAGGAGAGAGAUGAAAAGGCCGGUGAUUGCUUUUCUGAUGAUCGUAAAAGAUGCGCUUGGAUCGCUCCGAAAUCUGACCAAUCUUGCAUUGCUUUCCAUAAUGAAGAGUGGGGAGUUCCUGUCCAUGAUGACAAGUACGUGAUGAUAUAUCUUUUACUGAUUAUUUUUGAUUUGUCUGGGAGAUGCUAUUUGUUUAUUAUAAACGCUCUUAUUUGUCAAACUGCUUACAUGAAAAUUUCCGAGUUAUUAAGCCUCCCUGUUGUUCUCCCGGAACUAUCCUGGAAAUACAUUCGUUUCAAAAGGCAAUCAUUCAGGAAAAUUUUCAAGGAGUUUGAUUCAAUUCCUACAUCUGAACUAACAAACAAAAAAAGAGAACACCCCCUCAGACGUUGCUACCACCCCCAUUACUAUCCAUGAUCCAAGGCUUAAUGGUUUAAACACAGUUAUAGAGUUGCAUAUUCCCAUCAUUUUGGCUUCCCACAGGAGAAUCUAUUUGGUAACAUCGUCUGGAAAACAUAGAGUUCUUUCUUUACAUGCACCUAAAACAAACAGAUAUGAAAGGAGUGUUCAGAAAAAUGUCCAGAUUAAUACAGAGUUAGCCAGAAGACUUUGAACGCACAUGAGGCAGAAGCAGCUGCAGAACAGGCAGUUUCAAAGGUAGAAGCUGCCAUGACAGCGGCUGAAGAAGCUGCAAAGGAAGCAGAUGCAGCAGAAGCUGCUCGAGCUUAUGCCGAAGAAGCUUCAAAGACACUGAAAGGAAAAAAACAUCUGCAAAGUGAUGGUUUGUACGUGAGGUGACAUAGAAGAAUAAGAAGCUAAAUGUGUUACAGGUGAUGAGAGAGAGAGAAGCGCAGAAGUAGUGUUUGUUGUUGAAGAUUUUCGACUUAGAAACUCUUUUUAGUUAUUUCGUGACAAAAAAAAUUCUUUUUAGUUGUAAAGCAGUAAAUCUCAGAUGCUAAAGCCAUUGUAUUAUUGUUCACACUUUA